This 1529-nucleotide ribosomal RNA is filed under the name Vibrio fluvialis. RNAcentral describes it as "bacterial LSU rRNA". It matches the Rfam family "Bacterial large subunit ribosomal RNA", at positions 1329 to 2838 of the family's 2925-position model. Lineage: Bacteria; Pseudomonadati; Pseudomonadota; Gammaproteobacteria; Vibrionales; Vibrionaceae. The record is from RNAcentral.
CCUCCCCGCCGGAAGACCAAGGGUUCCUGUCCAACGUUAAUCGGGGCAGGGUAAGUCGACCCCUAAGGCGAGGCCGAAAGGCGUAGUCGAUGGGAAACGGGUUAAUAUUCCCGUACUUCUUACAAUUGCGAUGGGGGGACGGAGAAGGCUAGGUGGGCCUGGCGACGGUUGUCCAGGUUCAAGUGCGUAGGCUUGAGGGUUAGGUAAAUCCGGCUCUCUUUAAGGCUGAGACACGACGUCGAGCACCUACGGGUGUGAAGUCAUUGAUGCCAUGCUUCCAGGAAAAGCCUCUAAGCUUCAGAUUGUAAGGAAUCGUACCCCAAACCGACACAGGUGGUCGGGUAGAGAAUACCAAGGCGCUUGAGAGAACUCGGGUGAAGGAACUAGGCAAAAUGGUACCGUAACUUCGGGAGAAGGUACGCUCUUGAUGGUGAAGUCCCUCGCGGAUGGAGCUGAUGAGAGUCGCAGAUACCAGGUGGCUGCAACUGUUUAUUAAAAACACAGCACUGUGCAAAAUCGUAAGAUGACGUAUACGGUGUGACGCCUGCCCGGUGCCGGAAGGUUAAUUGAUGGGGUUAGCGUAAGCGAAGCUCUUGAUCGAAGCCCCGGUAAACGGCGGCCGUAACUAUAACGGUCCUAAGGUAGCGAAAUUCCUUGUCGGGUAAGUUCCGACCUGCACGAAUGGCGUAAUGAUGGCCACGCUGUCUCCACCCGAGACUCAGUGAAAUUGAAAUCGCUGUGAAGAUGCAGUGUACCCGCGGCUAGACGGAAAGACCCCGUGAACCUUUACUACAGCUUGGCACUGAACAUUGAACCUACAUGUGUAGGAUAGGUGGGAGGCUUUGAAGACGUGACGCUAGUUGCGUUGGAGCCGUCCUUGAAAUACCACCCUUGUAUGUUUGAUGUUCUAACUUAGCCCCGUUAUCCGGGGUGAGGACAGUGCCUGGUGGGUAGUUUGACUGGGGCGGUCUCCUCCCCAAGAGUAACGGAGGAGCACGAAGGUGGGCUAAUCACGGUUGGACAUCGUGAGGUUAGUGCAAUGGCAUAAGCCCGCUUAACUGCGAGAAUGACGGUUCGAGCAGGUGCGAAAGCAGGUCAUAGUGAUCCGGUGGUUCUGUAUGGAAGGGCCAUCGCUCAACGGAUAAAAGGUACUCCGGGGAUAACAGGCUGAUACCGCCCAAGAGUUCAUAUCGACGGCGGUGUUUGGCACCUCGAUGUCGGCUCAUCACAUCCUGGGGCUGAAGUCGGUCCCAAGGGUAUGGCUGUUCGCCAUUUAAAGUGGUACGCGAGCUGGGUUUAGAACGUCGUGAGACAGUUCGGUCCCUAUCUGCCGUGGGCGUUGGAAGAUUGAAGGGGGCUGCUCCUAGUACGAGAGGACCGGAGUGGACGACCCUCUGGUGUUCGGGUUGUGUCGCCAGACGCAUGGCCCGGUAGCUAAGUUCGGAAUCGAUAACCGCUGAAAGCAUCUAAGCGGGAAGCGAGCCCUGAGAUGAGUCUUCCCUGAUACUUUAAGUAUCCUAAAGGGUUGU